GACAGAGGAUGCAAGCGUUAUCCGGAAUGAUUGGGCGUAAAGCGUCUGUAGGUGGCUUUUUAAGUCCGCCGUCAAAUCCCAGGGCUCAACCCUGGACAGGCGGUGGAAACUACCAAGCUGGAGUAUGGUAGGGGUAGAGGGAAUUUCCAGUGGAGCGGUGAAAUGCGUAGAUAUUGGAAAGACCACCGAUGGCGAAGGCACUCUACUGGGCCACUACUGACACUGAGAGACGAAAGCUAGGGGAGCAAAUGGG
Molecule: ribosomal RNA, 253 nt
Filed under: uncultured bacterium
Lineage: Bacteria
Description: partial 16S ribosomal RNA
Rfam family: Bacterial small subunit ribosomal RNA
Source: RNAcentral